AACGAACGCUGGCGGCAUGCCUAACACAUGCAAGUCGAACGAAACCUUCGGGUCUCGUGGCUCACGGGUGCGUAACGCGUUGGAACCUGCCCUUAGGUUCGGAAUAACUCCCCGAAAGGGGUGCUAAUACCGGAUAAUGUCUUCGGACCAAAGAUUUAUCGCCUUUGGAUGGGCCCGCGUUGGAUUAGCUAGUUGGUAGGGUAAAAGCCUACCAAGGCGACGAUCCAUAGCUGGUCUGAGAGGAUGAUCAGCCACACUGGGACUGAGACACGGCCCAGACUCCUACGGGAGGCAGCAGUGGGGAAUAUUGGACAAUGGGCGAAAGCCUGAUCCAGCCAGGCCGCGUGAGUGAUGAAGGCCUUAGGGUUGUAAAGCUCUUUUACCCGGGAUGAUAAUGACAGUACCGGGAGAAUAAGCUCCGGCUAACUCCGUG
RNAcentral lists this ribosomal RNA (433 nucleotides) under uncultured bacterium. RNAcentral's name for it is "partial 16S ribosomal RNA". It matches the Rfam family "Bacterial small subunit ribosomal RNA", at positions 29 to 507 of the family's 1533-position model. The record is from RNAcentral.